RNAcentral lists this long non-coding RNA (737 nucleotides) under Homo sapiens (human). RNAcentral describes it as "HSALNT0334969". Lineage: Eukaryota; Metazoa; Chordata; Mammalia; Primates; Hominidae. The record is from RNAcentral.
AGCCAGGGCCGCGGUUCGCCUGCACGUCACGGCUACUCAAACCCAAGCACGUCCCGAAAGCGGUAUUUUCUGCGUCUGGGAGGUUUUUGCAUCCUCAGUUCCCACCGCUGGGGCUGGCGGCGACCAACUAAGUCCCACUUUAUCAUUAAUGAUGACAAUAACUAAGGCUGCCAGGAACAGCACAUCUGCUGAGCUUUAUCAACACCAGAUUCUCUCAUUUUGCCUUCUGGAUCUCCAUGCUUUUUUAUACCAACAAACAAGAGGAAGAAUAUUCUCUACCCACUUCCUUGACUGAAGCCUGCUCUUUUAUGAAGACAUGGCAUCUCUUCCAACCGUGUCAAACAGAUGCAAUUUAUAUGUCUGCUGCUUCCAUACCCUGAUUAAAUGGGUCAGUGGCAGAAUCAGUAUCCUUAGUCUCCCCUUUGGUUUCAAAUAUGUACUCCUUAUUUCAGUUUCAUGCUCACCUUUCUGUAGAGACCAAGGCAUCUGCCUUUGCAGCUUUACCUCUUCCUCCAGGUUAUAGUUUCCAUUCAUGGAAUCUUUUAGCUGCUGGCUGGCAGUUUUCCUGUCUACCUGACUUCCAUUCCUCUUCUCAUGACUUCAGCUCCCAUGCAGAUGUCUUAUCCUGACAUACUAGCUUCUCCAUUCUAUUUCUGUGUGUGUGUGUCUGUGUGUUUCCCUACUAGUUCAUCCACAUUUCCCUAUGGUCUUUUUUUUUUAUGUUUUAUUUUUGCAUA